This 201-nucleotide ribosomal RNA is filed under the name Clostridioides difficile. RNAcentral describes it as "partial 16S ribosomal RNA". It matches the Rfam family "Bacterial small subunit ribosomal RNA", at positions 765 to 966 of the family's 1533-position model. Lineage: Bacteria; Bacillati; Bacillota; Clostridia; Peptostreptococcales; Peptostreptococcaceae. The record is from RNAcentral.
GGAGCAAACAGGAUUAGAUACCCUGGUAGUCCACGCUGUAAACGAUGAGUACUAGGUGUCGGGGGUUACCCCCCUCGGUGCCGCAGCUAACGCAUUAAGUACUCCGCCUGGGAAGUACGCUCGCAAGCGUGAAACUCAAAGGAAUUGACGGGGACCCGCACAAGUAGCGGAGCAUGUGGUUUAAUUCGAAGCAACGCGAAG